This 78-nucleotide transfer RNA is filed under the name Streptomyces sampsonii. Its description in RNAcentral is "tRNA-Arg". Lineage: Bacteria; Bacillati; Actinomycetota; Actinomycetes; Kitasatosporales; Streptomycetaceae. The record is from RNAcentral.
GCCUCUGAGCUGCGGUGAUGUUAGACCCGCGCUCGGCCUCCGGAGCCGUGUGCGCAGGUUCGAAUCCUGCCGGGGGCA